Molecule: non-coding RNA, 888 nt
Organism: Triticum urartu
Lineage: Eukaryota; Viridiplantae; Streptophyta; Magnoliopsida; Poales; Poaceae
Source: RefSeq, a predicted model, not a curated record
GCAUAGGCGAGGGGGCGCCGUUUGCGCGACUAGUAAUGGGGUCAAUUCUUGUGUAUAUUGAAAUUUAUAGACAAAAUCAAAUACACACGGGGAAUCCUCCUGCGAGCGGAAUGCGGAGGCGCAGCGAUGCGAGAGAGAAAAACACUGCUGCUUGCUGUCUCGCACGUAUGCUGCUGCCGGCCAGGAAGGGGAGGAAGUUCAGGCCCACUCGGAGCAUACUUGAUGCGGUGCCGCCAGGGCCGACGCCGACUGCGGGACGGCGACGGUCUUCCGGCGGACAGCGGUGCCGCCGAAACUGGUACGCGGCGCUGCGGCCCCGUCCUCCACGACGGCGGCGACCGACGAGAGCGGUCGCGGCCGGCCCGUACACCGGCGGCUGCAACGGGCGACCGGGAGACCAAUAGCAUGGUGUCAAUCCUUGAAUGUAUAUUCUCUCUUUAUGCGCCAAAAGGUUGUUUAUUUUGGUAUUAUCCACAAAUGAACAUUUUUUUCAUGAACUUCCGCAGGGAGACUUGAUAGCACGUUGUGCAUCCAUGAAUAUAUUCUCUCGCUCUCUUUUGCACGGAGCAGUGAACACAGACAAUCUGAUAUAUGUAUAAGCUGGCAGGCAAGUCAUGGCCCAUGGAAGUUCAAAGCGUAGCAAUCAAUCUCUUUAGUUUUGUUGCACUUGAACAUUUCCAUAGUUAGGUCAGAAGACAGUUCCCUGGCAAGCAUUACCCUUGUUGCAACAUGGAAGCGUUUCUGCACAUCUACCUUCCCCUGGCCUCUAUGGCUACCCAGUUUCCACAUAUGUGUUAGUGUUAUUGUUGUUGGGAACAAUGUCUUUCAUAUUGUACAUGCACCAUACAGAUAAAAUGCAGAGCUCUCAUCACAUGUUCCCCAUGUUUA